RNAcentral lists this ribosomal RNA (669 nucleotides) under Alkalihalobacillus sp. Its description in RNAcentral is "bacterial SSU rRNA". It matches the Rfam family "Bacterial small subunit ribosomal RNA", at positions 110 to 762 of the family's 1533-position model. The record is from RNAcentral. Lineage: Bacteria; Bacillati; Bacillota; Bacilli; Caryophanales; Bacillaceae.
GUAACACGUGGGCAACCUGCCCUGCAGACUGGGAUAACUCCGGGAAACCGGAGCUAAUACCGGGUAAUACAUAGCAUCGCAUGAUGCAACGUUGAAAGUUGGCCUUUGGCUAACACUGUAGGAUGGGCCCGCGGCGCAUUAGCUAGUUGGUAAGGUAACGGCUUACCAAGGCCACGAUGCGUAGCCGACCUGAGAGGGUGAUCGGCCACACUGGGACUGAGACACGGCCCAGACUCCUACGGGAGGCAGCAGUAGGGAAUCUUCCGCAAUGGACGAAAGUCUGACGGAGCAACGCCGCGUGAGUGACGAAGGCCUUCGGGUCGUAAAGCUCUGUUGUUAGGGAAGAACAAGUACCGUUCGAAUAGGGCGGUACCUUGACGGUACCUAACCAGAAAGCCACGGCUAACUACGUGCCAGCAGCCGCGGUAAUACGUAGGUGGCAAGCGUUGUCCGGAAUUAUUGGGCGUAAAGCGCGCGCAGGCGGUCUCUUAAGUCUGAUGUGAAAGCCCACGGCUCAACCGUGGAGGGCCAUUGGAAACUGGGGGACUUGAGUGCAGAAGAGGAGAGUGGAAUUCCACGUGUAGCGGUGAAAUGCGUAGAUAUGUGGAGGGAACACCAGUGGCGAAGGCGGCUCUCUGGUCUGUAACUGACGCUGAGGCGCGAAAGCGU